AAGCUUAAAUUACCCAACCCAAACAAAAAGAAAAACUCGUCAAAAUGAUAUUUAGCCCUAAUGUUUCCUUCUUGGCUCGUCUCUGCCUCUCACUCUUCUCCCAUCACUUCCUCUUUUAUGUCGUCGUCUUUUGCCUAAGUAUUCUGUAACGCCGACCUCUUCUCCGGCGGCUCCACUGGUUUAUUUAUCUCCGAUUACGUUUUCCUAUGAGGGCAGAGUGGGCAGUUUUGAUUGUCCCCAUCCAUGGUUGUUCGAAAAGGUUGUUGAGGUUUGCAGAGCUUUUAAGUUGAGUUCAUAUCGGGGGCUAUUUUCUACAAGGAUCUAUCUCGUGUCACAGUGAGUUCUACUCAACUUCUUCAUUACCAGACUCGAAGGUACUAUCGGAUUUCUUUUUGUAAAAGCGGACUUUAUAUAUUGAUUUCAGACUCGAUUUGAUUGAUCAGAACGAUUUAAUUUUGCACAACGUCGAUCUAAAAUUCGUCCAGCCUUUUUAGAAUUUAUUUUUCAAGCCAGAAUUGUUCUUUCUUGAUAGAAAUCUUCCUUAAGCAGUUUGAUUUUUAUUAGUAUUUUUUUUUUCAUGGUUUUUACCCUUCCCGGCCCUCAAGUGUAAUCGGUAAAAUAUACCCGGACCAAAAUCCAGUGGGGGCAACUUCUCUCAUUAAACCCCAUUUGGGGGGGGGGGGGUGAAGUUCCGUUGUGGAAUGAAUACCCAAUUUCCAAUCCAGAGAGUCAGACACGGAGGUGGAUAAUUGGUUUGAUAGAUGCUCCAAGUCAAUAUCACGUUCUAGAUAAGAUUAUUCAUUUCUCAAUAACGGAAUUGUGUCGGUUCCCAUUGCAAGGUAUGCGACUUGAAUCUUAAAUCCCACAUCGAAAGUAUUGGCUCUGUGUGUAUGAUUUAUAUAGAUUUGGUUAAACUUUUCUUGUUGGACUGAUUAAUUGCCCCUAAUGAUCCUUAAUAAUUAAUUGAGUAAUUUUUCCCCCUUAUUGAUAUUUGACAAUUGAGUUGGGUUAUUCACUUAAUUAGGUUUGGUUUAAUGUAAAUCUAUUUUCCACUCAAUUAGGUCCGAUUAAUUUCUCUAAACAAAACCUUGAAUUUUCCUUUUGACUAACGUAGUAGUUCUUUCCUAUUGGAUUGAUUAAUGGCCUUCGCAAUAAUUUAUUUUGAGGUUAGUUGAAAUUUAUGCUGUGACCGCCUUUGUUGCCAAAAUUGUAUUCUAAAUUGAUUCAAAAUCUUGGUGUUGAGUGUCCAACCUAACAUGUAUAUUCAUUUGUUCUUGUAUCUAUUUUUGGAAGCAUUUUUAUAAGUUCUAAUUUUGUAGGCUUUUAAAGCAUUUGAAAAUCAGGGUCCAUAGGUAUUUGAGACCUCAGUUAUCAAUCGAUAUCACUAAAAUACUCUGAUGGGAAGAAAGAAGCCAAGCACCUAUGAGAAUGACAAUGUUACCACAACUCAGGGCGGCCACGGUGGAGGAAAGUUGAAUGUAAAGGCUUGGAAAACUUUGUGGAGAUUCUUUAUCAGGAGACGAAGGUUGCUAAACAGCUAAUUGGGGAUUGCAGGGAGAGAAACAGAUUUUAUCUUUUUGUGAAUUCCAGGUCAAUUGCUAAGAGCAUUGAAGACAUUACCAAAGAGAUUACCCAUGCAGUGAGUUGCAUUCCUUUGGCUUCUAUAGAUAUUUCACUAGGGACCAGAGAAGAUAUUGACCAGCUAGUUGAUAACAUGAGAAAUGAUAAAUUUAGGGCUGCCAUUGCGGAAGAAAAGAUUUUGGGAAAAAUAGAAUCAGGAACACAGGAAAGGAAUGUUGAUCGCUCCUAUGCCUAUAAUUUGCUUGUCUCUAUUGCAAAGGCUGUUGGAGUUCCAACUGAUUGAGCAUCAUUGAAAAAGGAGCUUGAAGAAUUUAAGAGCGAAAUAGAAAACUUACAUUUGAGGAAAGACAAGGCUGAAGCCAUACAGAUGGAUCAAAUUAUUGCUUUGCUAGAAAGGGCAGAAGUAGCAUCGUCUCUGGAGGAUAGAGAAAAGAAGUAUUAAAUGAAGAGAACAUCUUUAGGUAAUCAGCCUUUAGAACCUCUCCAGUCCUUCUACUACCCAAUAACUAAAGAGGUAAUGGUUGAUCCUGUGGAAACUCCUUCAGGACAUACAUAUUUGAGGAGUGCCAUAGCGAAGUGGUUGGAAAAGCAAGAUGGUCGCUAAUGUCCCAUGACCUUGACUCCACUAGAAACUUCAAUGCUGAGGCCUAACAAAACGCUAAGGCAAUCUAUUGAAGAAUGGAAUGACAGAAACACCAUGAUCAUUCUCGCUUGCUUGAAAUCUAGACUAUCAUCUGGAGAAGAUGAGAAAGUGCUUCAAUGCUUAGAACAGCUGCAAGAUCUAUGUGGUCCUUCCCUUGUACUAAUUUGAAUUUUAUGGAGUAUAUUCCUUGACUUGGAGCGCUAGCUGUGGUUGAUUCUAGGAAAUCUUUUUCCAGUUACCGAAAAUUUAUAUGCUACUAAUCAACUUAUUAGACUCAAUAAAUUUAUUACUCAUUUAUAGCUGUGGUUGUAUUUAUAGGCUAACUUAUUUUCUUUGAUACAAGUACUUUGGUUUUUUUAAGUGUGUAAGAGAAGGAUUUGUGA
Olea europaea var. sylvestris is the source of this 2607-nucleotide long non-coding RNA. RefSeq lists it as uncharacterized. The record is from RefSeq and is a predicted model, not a curated record. Lineage: Eukaryota; Viridiplantae; Streptophyta; Magnoliopsida; Lamiales; Oleaceae. The transcript has 2 exons.